GGUCUGUAUUAAUAACCUUUAAUCUUUCCUCUCCUCCAUGCCUCCAUGAAAUUGUCAGCAGAUGAUCUGCAACAUUAGCCAGCUGGCCUAACAAUAGAGUGCCAUUCUACUUUACAACUAACAAUACCUACAAUUGACUUUCAGACAUAUGACUUUCAGACUUAGCCACGUAUUGGUCGGGGGUGUGGAGACCCUGGAGCCCCCGCCAGGCAGCACAGAGCACGAGGCUGGGGUGCCUCCUAGUGUGGAUGGUUCAUCCUUCCCUAAAACUGACUGCUGCAACAUGUAGGUCUGAACGCAAAGAUACUGUGCAGUACUAAAAAGCGACUGAUUUCGAAGCCUCAGUGUUUACAUAAUGGAGCACGAUACUGAAAUAUGAAACCUUUUAUCCAUAAUGGCAUUUUUAAGGACAAAAAGAAGCUAUAAUAAUUACAGGGGGGGAAAAAAAAACAUGAGAAUACAAUGUAAAAAAAAAAAUCUCUUUUCCAAGCAGUAAAAUCAAGUAUCAGGAAACACGAACAGUGGUCAAAAAGCCAAAACUCGUUGAAAGAAUGGAAGCUUAACGGGAUAGCCACAGAGCACUGAAAUGACGCUUCUGUGUCAAGCAAAACCGCAUGGCGUGAGCUUAACAAAAUAAUACUUGUGGCACAGCUGAAACUGCUUGUAUCCAAAGCCAGUGGACGACGGCAUGCAACAGAGUGUAAGCUGCCCUUAGCAACAGCAAAUGAAUCUGUCUGAUGAGUCACCUCUCACUCUGUUUUCCCCAUCGAGGUAAGACCAGGCUGAAUCACACUCUAAAAUUAGCUGAGCUCACAACAGCUAGCAGUUACACUGGCCAGCACCAGCCCUUGUUUUAUGAAUCAGAGUUUACCCAGCUGGGGACCAAUCAGGGCAGACCAGAGGUGGGUCGCCAUAGUUACAGCACACACCUGAUUAUCCACAGAGUACUAUAGUGGGUCACACUGUGCCACAGGUUAUUGUACUGAUUGCUUAGUAUUACAUCCAAAUAUACAGAGCAUAUCACCUUCACAAGGUCAGUACCUGCGCUUUUCCAUAUCACACAUUCUGCGCCAAUAACUCUUAUGGUGAGAGUAGUUACAAUUCAUGACCUUGCCAGUCCACAUCAUGAAAUACCCUCUAUGAUUACACCGUACUACUUACUGGCAUUUGGGGAGCAACAGUGCGGUCUCAGUGCGGGGUUGGAGAUUUGAAUCCUGCCCGCGGCUCUGUAUGUGAGGAGUGACGGUUAGGGUUAGGAUUAGGUUUAGGAUUAGGGUUCCAGUCUAGGAAGCGUCCUGUGCUUCAAGGAGCUCUGUACUGCAUAAGAAAUUAAUUAAGAAUAAAUGGACGUACAGGAAUGCCAAUACAAUUUUAGUUUUGACUAAUAAGUUAUAUUUUCCACAGUGUUUGCUGGAUAAAAACCAAACAUCUUCUUGAUGUGGUUGGUUUACAUUGGCUUGGCUGAUCCUGACGGAUAUUUGCCACAGGAAACCCUGACUCAUCGAAACAACUGGAGAAAUGACACACCUGUGAAGAACAUUCUUUUAGACUAGAGUGACUGUGACUCCUGGUAGUUUUCCAGCUGCGACUUCACUACCUUCUGACCUUUUGACAUUCCUCUCCAGCAUCCUGUCAUCCAGAUCCAUUCCCACUUCUAUAAUUCAGAUCAGAUGACACGCAGUUUUUUUCACAAUAGGAUAAAAGCGCAGCUUUCCAGCAUGCAUUCCUGUAUUUACCUUCCAAGGCUUAACAAGGAAAAAAAAGAUUUCCUGAAUUCCAAAAUCAAAGUAUAGUGUGUGUGUGUGUCUGUGUAUAUAUAUAUGAUUAUUGAUUAUGGUGCACAUUUGUCAUGCCAUUGUUU
Paramormyrops kingsleyae is the source of this 1861-nucleotide long non-coding RNA. RefSeq lists it as uncharacterized. Lineage: Eukaryota; Metazoa; Chordata; Actinopteri; Osteoglossiformes; Mormyridae. The record is from RefSeq and is a predicted model, not a curated record.